RNAcentral lists this ribosomal RNA (253 nucleotides) under uncultured bacterium. RNAcentral describes it as "partial 16S ribosomal RNA". It matches the Rfam family "Bacterial small subunit ribosomal RNA", at positions 524 to 776 of the family's 1533-position model. The record is from RNAcentral.
UACGUAGGGUGCGAGCGUUGUCCGGAAUUAUUGGGCGUAAAGCGCGUGUAGGCGGCUUUGCAAGUCGGGUGUGAAAGCCCUCAGCUCAACUGAGGAAGUGCGCCCGAAACUGCAGAGCUUGAGUGCCGGAGAGGGUAGCGGAAUUCCCCAACUAGAGGUGAAAUUCGUAGAUAUGGGGAGGAACACCGGUGGCGAAGGCGGCCACCUGGACGGCAACUGACGCUGAGACGCGAAAGCGUGGGGAGCAAACAGG